AAGUGAAACCGCCCCGGCUUGCUGGGGUGGUCUGCCGGACGUGGUUGUCCGGUACUGAUGAGCAGCCACCC
RNAcentral lists this non-coding RNA (71 nucleotides) under Pseudomonas sp. WS 5059. Lineage: Bacteria; Pseudomonadati; Pseudomonadota; Gammaproteobacteria; Pseudomonadales; Pseudomonadaceae. The record is from RNAcentral.